Sitophilus oryzae (rice weevil) is the source of this 826-nucleotide long non-coding RNA. RefSeq lists it as uncharacterized. The transcript is spliced from 3 exons. NCBI's taxonomy places the organism in Eukaryota, Metazoa, Arthropoda, Insecta, Coleoptera, Curculionidae. The record is from RefSeq and is a predicted model, not a curated record.
GCCUUCUAUAAGCGACGGAAAGGUUGGAUUGUAUGCAGGACGGCAAGCUAGGUGAUGAAGGUGAAUAGAUAUGCUCGCAAGGAAUGGGAUUAUGGAUUCUAAUGGCAAGCAUUUCGAGGAAUGUGGUUUACCAAGCGCAAUAAUAGGUUUAAUGGUAUCGACGCCGAUGCCUCUGUGCCGUCUCACUCGUCGACCGUCUCCGUCUGACGCACGAACCGGACCACGCCCCCUUCCUUCCCCCUCCUGCGACCCCUGGCAGCAGUGCAGGAAACUACGUCGUCGACGCGCGGCGUAGUUCAGAACAUGCCCGAAACGACGCCGUGUCUAUCCGAACGCCGGUUGCACUCGCACAGUCUAACUCAACGAGAGAGUGAGACGGAAAGAUGGAAUAAUCACGCCGGGGUAUGCAUAUAAAGAUGAUCCGGGGAACAACCACACCCUGCCCCGCCAGAUCCUGCCCACCGGCGUCAUGACUGCGUCGGCGUCGGUUGUAAGCAGAGGAGAGACCGUCGGGACGCCUGGCUGAAGCUCACACUGCUUCUCCAGACGCCAAACUCAUCAGUCCUCCAGUGUGUCCGGGCUCGCGGUGACUCUGUCAGUGCCUGAAGAGGAAGGAGGUCUGUGUUGAGUUUCCUAGCCACGUUCGUUGGGGUGAAGAUUGAAUGCAACCCCCUGUACGUAUACUGAAUGUAUCCUGAGUGUUUUUUCUGUCCGGUAUACCUUCAGUAUACGUAACAGGAGGCCACAUUUCUACGAGUCGUCUCACCUUCAAUUCAAUCUUCUUAGCUGUAGGUACCUUAAGAACUAGUAAGAAUAAUUGUUUGUU